CCCAAGCACGUCCACGUGUGAGAUGAGUUGUUAGCUCCCCCCGUGAGAACCAGUCGUGUCUGUUGUGUAUCAGGGCCAUGGCUCAGAGGUUGGCUGGAAGUGCGAUGGGGACCCGCAGCCAGGAGAGAAGGUCCUGCAGGAUAUAAAGGAGAGGAGAGGGCAGGAGAGGCGGCUCCAAGUGAUCCAACAGCAGCUGGAGAUCCUGGGCCAGGGCCAAGAAAUGACUAAUGAGUCACCAGACCUUACUGAGGAGCAGUUACUUGGUCUGCUGGAUGAAUGUGAGCUGACAGAGAGCUGGAUCCAGGAUCUUGAAACGAAUGACACCACGAGACCCUAAAAAAGACUCGGAUGGGCCUAAUCCAUCUGACGCCCUGCUGUCAGAACGGCUAUCAAAAGAUGCAUUAUUGCUUGGAUGUCACUAUCAGACUAUUUGGGAGUUGUAAGAGAAAAACGAAUGAUUCUAAACUUAUUUAAUUGACAUAACUAACCUGUCUUAUAUAUAGUAACAUAAACUGAUUUUGAACAUGUUUCACAGUGUGUCUGUAAAGGAAAACCUAACUUUUGGUUAAUUGGUAAACUGAGAAUGAGAACUGUUAUUUUUGUCCUAAUUGGUCUCCAUGUUUUCAACAUGUGGCUGGAUUAUGUCCCAUUUUUUAAAUUUGUGUUUAUGGCUCUGCAUGAGGAAACAGAGCAGCAGGGCCACCCUUUGUAUUAACCUAAGUAUCAUAGAUGAGAACAGAAAAUUGGUGUCAUUAAAUCUAAUAACUGGGUACGGUGGCCGCAGAAUGUUCUAUUGCGCACAUAAACACUCAGCUGAUAGCACCGUGUCUGUGGGGUCAAGUCUGAACACUAUAUUGUAUGAACUUUAAGCCUUCUACCAUGAAAUGUCUCUGUUAAUAUUAGUAAAUGUGUGGUCAAGCAUCCAAAGUGGCUGUUAAUGAGGAUACAGGGAUGAUGUGUGCUCCACAGGAGUGAUAGUCAGAUCUAGUUCAGCUCCCAGGAUUUCUUUGAUUCUGAAAUUGGGCCCUGUUUGGAGCUGGACCUCCUUCCAGCUUAAUUUUCAUUUUAAAAUACAAGAUUCCAUUGGCAAAAGAUGGUCAGAUUUGAGAAUUAUUUUUUACUAUACUUUGGUUUGUUUGUAGAGAUGUUGCCGCGGCUCCUGUUUGGUCCCGCUUGCACAGUGUGAGUAGCCAGUCUGCACCUGGUUGACCUCAGCCCAGAGGUCCCACCUUUCCUCUCUCUGGCUCUGGACACCCACAGGCUUGUUCGUCUCACUCUUCACCUCACCCACACAUUCUGACCCUGUUUAAAGGGCAGGAAUUAUCUCACAUUCCUCUGGACUGAAAACUCGUCGGCCAGGUGAGCCUCCAAGGUCAAACUCCAAUGAACCUGCAGAACUAUACGUCGGGGAAUGUUAUCAGACAGCUCAGCACACGUCCAAAAAAGCACAUGCAAACACUGACUGAGCGCACUAGAUUAGCCUUUUUCAAAACUUAUAAUAAUUUCAUAGCUACAAAUGCAGUAUAUGUAGCAUUUAGUCCAUCUGACAAAUACCAUCUAUGUAAUUGAGACAAUAUGUUUUUAGUAGGGAAGAUAUACCACACGUUUGGGGUAAUGGAAACAGUGAGGUCAGUGUGGUAAGAAUGAGGUCACUUCUAAUGUAAAGAGACCUGCAGCAUACUGAGACUGUCUGGUUUUUCUGGCAGGACUCUCACUGGUGCCUUAGAUUACAGCUCUUUCUGGCCCUGUGAAAGAUCUCAAUUAGCAGUCUGAUUUCUGUUUGCUGAUGAUAUACGGGUGCAGGGUCUUACAGCGUAACAGUCCGCAAGCUACAGACCUAGUCUAGGGAUACCUCAUCUACUUUGACAAGUUUUAUUGAACUAUAGAAUUUCAAUGCACAUUCUUACUGACAAGAGUGGACCACAGCCAUAAGGUAAGUUCAUUUGCCCAAAGAGAGUGAAUUUAUCACAGAAUGCAAACGUCCUUAUGUGUACUUCUCACAUGCAGUGUUGUCAUUUGAAUGUGUAAGGAGGUGCCUGUGUAAUGUGUUAUCAGAUCUGUAUGGAUAUGCUGUUUAAGUGGGUUAUACUUCAUAUUGAGUUUUCCUGCUGUUGACUCUCAAGGAUACUCCCUUUCUCCAAGGCUUCACUAGACUCAACUAAUAAAUUCCAGUCGCUUGACACAG
Micropterus salmoides (largemouth bass) is the source of this 2185-nucleotide long non-coding RNA. RefSeq lists it as uncharacterized. NCBI's taxonomy places the organism in Eukaryota, Metazoa, Chordata, Actinopteri, Centrarchiformes, Centrarchidae. The transcript has 2 exons. The record is from RefSeq and is a predicted model, not a curated record.